CUCCCCAGGGGCCACAGCAGACUAGGGGCUUCUGGAUUAUAAAACGGAGAAGUGGGCGCUCCUCGCCAAAAAAGGCUACCAGGAGCGGGACCUGGAACCCCAGAUUUCCAUCACAACCAAACUCAAAGGGGUUUCCGUGACUCAGAUCAAGGAGCUUGGAAACCGGCUGUGGGAUGUGGCCGACUUCGUGAAGCCACCUCAGGGAGAGAACGUGUUCUUCUUGGUGACCAACUUCCUUGUGACGCCAGCCCAAGAUCAGGGCAGAUGCCCAGAGAUACAGGGUCUUGCUAUGUUGCCCAGGCUGGAGUGAAGAGGCUAUUCACAGGUAUGAUCAAGCUCACUGCAGCCUUGAGCCUCCUAGGCUCAAGCCAUCCUCCCAACUCAGCCUUCUGAGUAACUGAGACUACAGGCGUGUACCACCAUUCCCAGCUAAUAAAGUCUAUUUUUAAAAAAUCACUUGACGAUAAA
Molecule: long non-coding RNA, 468 nt
Filed under: Homo sapiens (human)
Lineage: Eukaryota; Metazoa; Chordata; Mammalia; Primates; Hominidae
Description: non-protein coding lnc-SLC7A4-1:1
Source: RNAcentral